CCGUCCCGACUCUCUCUCUCUCUCUCUCUCUCUCUCUCUCUCUCUCUCUUUCUUAGGGGUUUUUAAUCUCUAUCUCUCUUUUAACAUGUCUAAGGAUGAGAUACGAGGAUCUCUGCAAUCCGAUGUAUGAUAUGGACAUCAAGGAAGCCUUAGCCACUUCCAUCUCAAGCAUUCAAUGGAUCUCUCCAUAAAGCACGAAUAUCUCCCCAAAGAUCUACAGAUUUAGGGCCUGCCCAAAUUCAUCCUAAAUCAGGAUUUGUUUAGGGCCUUAAGUGGAAUAAACCUGCUUGGCUUUUGGGGUAGUGGAAGAUGGAAACUGUAUUAAGCUGGAUACCAUUUUUCCUUAAAUCGGUAGAGUUCUCCAUAUUAGUGGGGAGGACCUUACAUCAAUUGAAGAAACUAAGAACCCCAAAUGUGUUGCAAAGCAUCUGGAGUCUGCAAAUACAAUGUUUUCAUUCUUAUGGUGGAUCAUUGGAUUCUAUUAGGUAUCCCCUGGUGGCCAAACUUUGACCCGUGAUGCACCUCAACUUUACUGUGGCAGACCAGGUAUGGCUUUUGUGAUAUGGUGUCUGCUUUUUGGAAAUUAUCUUAAUAUGCUUGAAAUUUCACAUUUUAUAGAAAUGGCAUUUAUCUAGACUACAAAACUAAUUCCAUAGCCACUAACCAAGUGUGUGUCAUAAUGGACCGAAUCAAAUAGAAAUGAUACACAAAAGCUUACAACUUAUGAGGAUUUUUUCUUUCUUUUUUAAUUCGAUUUGAUGUUGAUUUCAUCAAAUCUGAUGGUUUACUUCUGAAAGUCUUUGUUGUCGGGUUCUCCCUAUCCCUCUCUCAAUCGACCAUCUCUCUUUGUUUCCCCUUUCUCAAUCCACCUCUGCUCCUCUAGGGUUUGUCUCUCUCUCUCUCUCUCUCUCUCUCUCUCUCUCUAUCUAUCUAUCUAUCUAUCUUUUAUAGACCAGAUCUGGGUUCAUUUUUCCUUCCCAAUCUUUCCAGAAAAGAUUUGCAUUUUUCUCUCAAGCUACAACAGAUUUUUUAUGCAGAUCUGGGGUUUUCUCUCGAG
Molecule: long non-coding RNA, 1057 nt
Organism: Magnolia sinica
Lineage: Eukaryota; Viridiplantae; Streptophyta; Magnoliopsida; Magnoliales; Magnoliaceae
Exons: 4
Source: RefSeq, a predicted model, not a curated record